Homo sapiens (human) is the source of this 873-nucleotide long non-coding RNA. Ensembl annotates it as long intergenic non-protein coding RNA 1705. The record is from Ensembl. Lineage: Eukaryota; Metazoa; Chordata; Mammalia; Primates; Hominidae.
CUCUUUGCCUGCUGCAAUCCAUGUAAGAUGUGACUUGUUCCUCCUUGCCUUCUGCCAUGAUUGUGAGGCCUCCACAGCCAUGCGGAACUGUUGAAAUACACACUACCUGAAGCUGGAUAACUCAUGAACUCUGUUGACAAUUAUAUUCUUUGUCUUUUUAAUUAACUCAUUUGGAGUUGGUGUCCUGAGGACCUAAGCCUAAGAAUCUUCAAGAUGGAAGAGUAGAGUGAACAAUGAAUGAGCCAGAGGGCUCUUGUCCUCUGUGUGCAGCUCUGGGCAGCCAGCAGGUGGAUAUGGGACUUGGCCUGCUGGAGGGGCCCUGGCAAGAGGAGCUGGCAGGAGCAGAUGGCAAAGUUCACUCACUCUGGGAGACACUGGCUUCCCUGUUGUGAGGACACUCAAGCAGCCCUAUUCAGAGGUCCAUGUGGUAAGGUACGAAGGCCUCCUGUCAAUUCUAGUGAGAAACCUAGGUUUCUUGCUAACAGCUAUGUGAGUGAGCCAUCUUGGAAGCAGAUUCUCCCACCCCAGAUGAGCCUUCGGAUGACUGGAGUUCUGGCUGACAUCUUGACUGCAAUCUCAUCAGAGACCUCAAGCCAAAAUUACCCCACUUCCAAAUUCCUGACCCUACAGAAACUGUGUGAGAUAAUAUAUGCUUAUUGUUUAAGCCACUAAGUUGUUCUUUUGGUGGGGGGGAUGGGUGAUUUGUUAUGCAACAACAGAAAACUAAUACAGAAAUUAUACCUGCCAUUAUCAAAGAGGCCUCCAGUGAGGGUUGAUGGUAUCCUUGAAUAUUUAGGGAAACUAAGCAUGUUAAGUGUAAAUACAGAAACUGUCUUUGUCAAAACUAAAUAAAGCAAGGGAAAUGGAACUUGA